AACGGGUGAGUAACACGUGGGCAACCUGCCCAAAAGAGGGGGAUAACACUUGGAAACAGGUGCUAAUACCGCAUAACCAUAGUUACCGCAUGGUAACUAUGUAAAAGGUGGCUAUGCUACCGCUUUUGAAUGGGCCCGCGGCGCAUCAGCUAGUUGGUGGGGUAAAGGCUUACCAAGGCAAUGAUGCGUAGCCGAACUGAGAGGUUGAUCGGCCACAUUGGGACUGAGACACGGCCCAAACUCCUACGGGAGGCAGCAGUAGGGAAUCUUCCACAAUGGGCGAAAGCCUGAUGGAGCAACGCCGCGUGGGUGAAGAAGGUCUUCGGAUCGUAAAACCCUGUUGUUAGAGAAGAAAGUGCGUGAGAGUAACUGUUCACGUUUCGACGGUAUCUAACCAGAAAGCCACGGCUAACUACGUGCCAGCAGCCGCGGUAAUACGUAGGUGGCAAGCGUUAUCCGGAUUUAUUGGGCGUAAAGGGAACGCAGGCGGUCUUUUAAGUCUGAUGUGAAAGCCUUCGGCUUGACCGGAGUAGUGCAUUGGAAACUGGGAGACUUGAGUGCAGAAGAGGAGAGUGGAACUCCAUGUGUAGCGGUGAAAUGCGUAGAUAUAUGGAAGAACACCAGUGGCGAAAGCGGCUCUCUGGUCUGUAACUGACGCUGAGGUUCGAAAGCGUGGGUAGCAAACAGGAUUAGAUACCCUGGUAGUCCACGCCGUAAACGAUGAAUGCUAAGUGUUGGAGGGUUUCCGCCCUUC
RNAcentral lists this ribosomal RNA (754 nucleotides) under uncultured bacterium. Its description in RNAcentral is "bacterial SSU rRNA". It matches the Rfam family "Bacterial small subunit ribosomal RNA", at positions 101 to 841 of the family's 1533-position model. The record is from RNAcentral.